Molecule: ribosomal RNA, 250 nt
Filed under: uncultured bacterium
Lineage: Bacteria
Description: partial 16S ribosomal RNA
Rfam family: Bacterial small subunit ribosomal RNA
Source: RNAcentral
CUGGCAGUAAACGGUGCACAUUUGGUGUGGGCGCAAUCGACCGCGUCCGCGCCGGAGCUAACGCGUUAAAUGUGCCGCCUGGGAAGUACGGUCGCAAGAUUAAAACUCAAAGAAAUUGACGGGGACCCGCACAAGCGGUGGAGUAUGUGGCUUAAUUCGAUGCAACGCGAAGAACCUUACCUGGUCUUGACAUGCAUUGUGUCUACGGUGAAAGCCGUAUAGGGUAGCAAUACCCGCUUUGCACAGGUGC